UUUCUGAAACCCUAGGCGCCGCAAGCACCCCGACACCAGGUCUAAACUCGCGCCGCAAUUGGUGCGCCAAUCUCACUACCGACACCCUUAUCGUCGCCUCAAUCAGUGUGCCAGAGAAUUGUCAUCAGCGCCUGAUCAUCGUUGGUCUUCUCGUGAUCACCUGCAAAAAAGGGAAAGAGAUACACAGCAAAAAUGGCAAGAAAUCGAAUAGAAUACACCAAAUUUGUACAAAGGCUAUAAAAGCCAAAUGUAUU
Molecule: long non-coding RNA, 254 nt
Filed under: Gossypium barbadense (sea-island cotton)
Lineage: Eukaryota; Viridiplantae; Streptophyta; Magnoliopsida; Malvales; Malvaceae
Description: long non-coding RNA (GBAR_LNC011460)
Source: RNAcentral